This 300-nucleotide long non-coding RNA is filed under the name Mytilus galloprovincialis (Mediterranean mussel). Lineage: Eukaryota; Metazoa; Mollusca; Bivalvia; Mytilida; Mytilidae. The record is from RNAcentral.
CAAACUCAUAAAUCUAAAACAAACUGACAACGCCAUGGCUAAAAAUGAAAAAGACAAACAAACAACAGCACACAUGACACAACAUAAAAAACUAAAGAAUAAACAACAAGAACCCCCCAAAAAACUAGGGGUGAUCUCAGGUGCUCCGGAAGGGUAAGCAGAUCCUGUUCCACAUGUGGCACCCGUCGUGUUGCUUAUGUGAUAACAAAUCCGGUAAAUAGUCUAAUUCGGUAGGUCACAUUCAUGAAAGGUAAGAAGAUUGUAGUUACGACGUAAGGAACAUAUCCGAUAUCAUUUGUG